AUGCUGCUGCACAAUCUGAACCAGGAGAAGUCUUAUGCGACGCAUAUUAACCCUUACCGAGGUCAAGACCCAUUGUUGAUGAAGUACUUUCUAAUUGACCCAUCCGGCACCCAGCUAUUUGAUCUUAUUAGGGAUGGUAAAUUUAGAUGUCUCCAGCUUCAGUAUGCUGUUAGUGACCACAAAAAAAUUUUCGGCCAUCAUAUUUCCCCGAGAAUCAAGGGAAAGGAAGAGGAAAAACCUACAAUGAAGUUGUCGGGGAGAAGAUCCAGUGAACAAAGCUACAUCGAGUUGGGUCAAAGUGACUGGUACAUUUUCCUGAUCUGCAUCCUAUCUCAAUGUAUUUCUGUUAUGCCACGGUUCAGUUCAUCAUGGGGACAAACUACCUGUAUAAUGUCCACUCCUACUGGUCUUUCACCUGUCAAACAAGAAGACGUGGUGCAGCUAGCUGCUGAAAAGGAGAUGACUGUGGUCCUCUUGACAAUGAAGAUGAAGACGCAGCAGACCAAGCCUUUGCGUUCUCCACUCGCAUGCACAAGGAGUUCCGCAAGAUGGCCAAUGUUGUUAAGAACCAGAUUUCCUCGGGUGAGCCGCUCCUGGCGCGUCCCCUGUCUCAUCGCGCUGACCGCGUCGCGUUGUGCAUCGUGGGGAGCCGCAGAGUGGUUGGCAGGCGCAUGCGCAACCGGCUCGUGCGCCCGCACUUGUGCUCUCGCGAUGACGAGUGGGCCGACGCUGCUCCUGGUCCCGCACGUCGGCUGCUGUGGCUACGCGCACCUCACGGGAUUGGACCGUCGCGUGUGGUCUAGCGUCGCGGGGUUUGUUGAGUGGGCUACGCAGGGUGGCCCGGCGCAUGUGUGCCCCGCUGGUGCAUACGAUUUGGGUGGUGCAAUGACAUGUGGCCCUGUGCUCCUCCUGGCCCCCCUCGUCGUCCAAAGCCGCCGCACCCCUCCCUCCUUCCUCCUCGUCGCCACUCACCGUAGCCGCCGCACCUGUUUUUCUCUUCCUCUUCCCUCCAUCGUCACCACAGCCACCGGUCCGCUCCCUCCUCCUUCAUCCCCCUUCUCUCGUCAGCAACCACCGCACGAACCUCCUGAGUCGGGGCGGGUGCAGAAGGCCGUUGCGAGUAUGUAUGGGGCCGCAUCCGUCCUCCCUCCCUCGUCGGCCACCACUAAGGCUUAUUCCUCUCCUGUCCUGGCCUCGUCUCCUGCGACUGGUGGUGGAGAGCCAUGGGUGAUGGAGAGGAGGAAGGGAGGUAAGGGAAUAACAGGGGAGGGAAUUUACAGGAGCUUCACUCCCAAAUUUUGUGCCCCGAGCCAUGGAUGGCUGAGAGAAGGAAGUGGCCUACGCUCUCUUCUCAAGCCUGUGGCAAUGUCUGUUUUUCCUGAUGUCCACUUUGGUAUCCUCGUUUAUCUUGCCUGCCUUGCUCGUGUGCUUCUCCUUAUCAGCUCAGGUUCUACGAUAUACUGUGUUGCUGCAUCUUUGUUCUGCUUGCGGAAGUUCGCUCACUUUUCUAGCUAG
RNAcentral lists this ribosomal RNA (1515 nucleotides) under Triticum aestivum (bread wheat). RNAcentral's name for it is "partial small subunit ribosomal RNA". Lineage: Eukaryota; Viridiplantae; Streptophyta; Magnoliopsida; Poales; Poaceae. The record is from RNAcentral.